This 253-nucleotide ribosomal RNA is filed under the name uncultured bacterium. RNAcentral describes it as "partial 16S ribosomal RNA". It matches the Rfam family "Bacterial small subunit ribosomal RNA", at positions 524 to 776 of the family's 1533-position model. The record is from RNAcentral.
UACGAAGGGGGCUAGCGUUGCUCGGAAUCACUGGGCGUAAAGCGCACGUAGGCGGCUUCUUAAGUCAGGGGUGAAAUCCUGGAGCUCAACUCCAGAACUGCCUUUGAUACUGAGAAGCUUGAGUCCGGGAGAGGUGAGUGGAACUGCGAGUGUAGAGGUGAAAUUCGUAGAUAUUCGCAAGAACACCAGUGGCGAAGGCGGCUCACUGGCCCGGUACUGACGCUGAUGUGCGAAAGCGUGGGGAGCAAACAGG